AUAGCCACCUGCAGGGACGUUUCCUUCAACCUCGGUCUCAACGGCCGAAUGUCUGCUACAAUUGGGAACCUCGCGCAGCUCACCACGCUGAUCCUGGCAGGCUGUAGCUUCACCGGAGGCAUCCCACAACAACUCGGCAACCUGCAGUAGCUCUCGCUCCUGGCGUUGAAUUCAAACAAGUUUACUGGCACAAUACCCCCUACGCUCGGUUUACUCUCGAACCUCUUCUGGCUGGAUCUGGCUGACAAUCAGCUCACUGGAUAUAUCCCGGUCUCCACAGCAACAACGUUGGGGCUCGACCAACUUACCCACAUGAAGCACUUCCACUUCAACAAGAACCAGCUGUCUGGAACACUCACAGGCCUCUUCAACUCCAACAUGAGCCUGAUCCACAUACUGUUCGACAGCAAUCAACUGACUGGCCCGAUACCAGAGGAGCUAGGGGGCAUUUCAUCGCUCCAAGUUCUGUAAGUAUCU
Zea mays is the source of this 477-nucleotide RNA transcript. It is a transcript of the gene named leucine-rich repeat receptor-like protein kinase pseudogene, with no coding region annotated. The transcript is spliced from 5 exons. Lineage: Eukaryota; Viridiplantae; Streptophyta; Magnoliopsida; Poales; Poaceae. The record is from RefSeq and is marked validated.